ACGGGUGAGUAAUGUCUGGGAAACUGCCCGAUGGAGGGGGAUAACUACUGGAAACGGUAGCUAAUACCGCAUAACGUCGCAAGACCAAAGAGGGGGACCUUCGGGCCUCUUGCCAUCGGAUGUGCCCAGAUGGGAUUAGCUUGCUGGUGAGGUAAUGGCUCACCAAGGCGACGAUCCCUAGCUGGUCUGAGAGGAUGACCAGCCACACUGGAACUGAGACACGGUCCAGACUCCUACGGGAGGCAGCAGUGGGGAAUAUUGCACAAUGGGCGCAAGCCUGAUGCAGCCAUGCCGCGUGUAUGAAGAAGGCCUUCGGGUUGUAAAGUACUUUCAGCGGGGAGGAAGGCGAUACGGUUAAUAACCGUGUCGAUUGACGUUACCCGCAGAAGAAGCACCGGCUAACUCCGUGCCAGCAGCCGCGGUAAUACGGAGGGUGCAAGCGUUAAUCGGAAUUACUGGGCGUAAAGCGCACGCAGGCGGUCUGUCAAGUCGGAUGUGAAAUCCCCGGGCUCAACCUGGGAACUGCAUUCGAAACUGGCAGGCUUGAGUCUUGUAGAGGGGGGUAGAAUUCCAGGUGUAGCGG
This 583-nucleotide ribosomal RNA is filed under the name uncultured bacterium. RNAcentral describes it as "bacterial SSU rRNA". It matches the Rfam family "Bacterial small subunit ribosomal RNA", at positions 102 to 681 of the family's 1533-position model. The record is from RNAcentral.